RNAcentral lists this ribosomal RNA (218 nucleotides) under uncultured bacterium. Its description in RNAcentral is "partial 16S ribosomal RNA". It matches the Rfam family "Bacterial small subunit ribosomal RNA", at positions 122 to 334 of the family's 1533-position model. The record is from RNAcentral.
UAACUACCCAUCAGAGGGGGAUAACACUUGGAAACAGGUGCUAAUACCGCAUAACAGUUUAUGCCGCAUGGCAUAAGAGUGAAAGGCGCUUUCGGGUGUCGCUGAUGGAUGGACCCGCGGUGCAUUAGCUAGUUGGUGAGGUAACGGCUCACCAAGGCCACGAUGCAUAGCCGACCUGAGAGGGUGAUCGGCCACACUGGGACUGAGACACGGCCCAG